Molecule: long non-coding RNA, 293 nt
Filed under: Mytilus galloprovincialis (Mediterranean mussel)
Lineage: Eukaryota; Metazoa; Mollusca; Bivalvia; Mytilida; Mytilidae
Source: RNAcentral
GCGUUCUUUCUUCCUUUUCGGGUUCAUGAAAAUCAUAUAAUCUUUGUUUGCAGCGAUGAUGAAGGUAAUCUUCCUGAUAAAGACUUUUAUAUACAAAAUACGACAGUAAAAGAGGAUACACCAUACACAAUGUCAUGCAUGGAAUAAGAUCUUGUGGCAAUAAAGUGCAAUAAAAGUUAACAAUCCAAAAAGUUGGUCGCACGAUCCAAAUAACAAACAUCAGGAACAUUAAGAAAUAUCGCUGUAGCCUAAUUGUACUGUCACACGUGAUACAUUGCUGGUGAUGCUGUCCU